This 481-nucleotide ribosomal RNA is filed under the name uncultured bacterium. RNAcentral's name for it is "partial 16S ribosomal RNA". It matches the Rfam family "Bacterial small subunit ribosomal RNA", at positions 28 to 507 of the family's 1533-position model. The record is from RNAcentral.
GAUGAACGCUGGCGGCGUGCUUAACACAUGCAAGUCGAACGAAGCACUUUAUUUGAUUUCCUUCGGGACUGAUUAUUUUGUGACUGAGUGGCGGACGGGUGAGUAACGCGUGGGUAACCUGCCUUGUACAGGGGGAUAACAGUUGGAAACGGCUGCUAAUACCGCAUAAGCGCACAGCAUCGCAUGAUGCAGUGUGAAAAACUCCGGUGGUAUAAGAUGGACCCGCGUUGGAUUAGCUAGUUGGUGAGGUAAUGGCCCACCAAGGCGACGAUCCAUAGCCGAGCUGAGAGGGUGACCGGCCACAUUGGGACUGAGACACGGCCCAAACUCCUACGGGAAGCAGCAGUGGGGAAUAUUGCACAAUGGGCGAAAGCCUGAUGCAGCGACGCCGCGUGAGCGAAGAAGUAUUUCGGUAUGUAAAGCUCUAUCAGCAGGGAAGAUAAUGACGGUACCUGACUAAGAAGCACCGGCUAAAUACGUG